AGUGAACGCUGGCGGUAGGCCUAACACAUGCAAGUCGAACGGCAGCACAGUAAGAGCUUGCUCUUACGGGUGGCGAGUGGCGGACGGGUGAGGAAUACAUAGGCAUCUACUUUUUCGUGGGGGACAACGUGGGGAGACUUACGCUAAUACCGAAUACGACCUACGGGUGAAAGCAGGGGAUAUUCGGACAUUGCGAGCAUGAAUGAGCCGAUGUCGGAUGAGUUAGUUGGCGGGGUAAAGGCCAACCAAGGCAACGAUCCGUAGCUGGUCUGAGGGGAGGAUCGGCAACACGGGAACGGGGACAGGCCCCAGACUCCAAGGGAGGGAGCAGGAGGGGAUCAUUGGACAAUGGGGGAAGGCCUGCUCCAGCCAGACCGCGUGGUGGAAGAAGGCCUUCGAGUGGUAAAGCCCUUUUGUUGGGAAAGAAAAGCAUCAGGGUAAUACCCCGCUGUUGUGACGGUACCCAAAGAGUAAGCACCGGCUAACUUCGUG
RNAcentral lists this ribosomal RNA (492 nucleotides) under uncultured bacterium. Its description in RNAcentral is "partial 16S ribosomal RNA". It matches the Rfam family "Bacterial small subunit ribosomal RNA", at positions 30 to 507 of the family's 1533-position model. The record is from RNAcentral.